CCAUAACCAAACCCUAACUNUUCUCCAUCUUCUCUCUUCUUUUUCAGAAAUUUAAACCGUANAAAACUCCAAUUGGUGCCUUCAACUNGUUUCUGGUGUCGAGGGCUUCAGUUUGAGCCUACCAUAUCUCCAUUUCACUUGGUAAGUAAGUUUUCCCCAAUUUCCUCCAUUGUUCUUGCCCUAAGUAUGUACUAUUUCUNAUUUUUAUGAGUCCUGUAUCAUUUGGUCUUCCAUUCUUCACUGUUUCAACUCAAAAAGCUAAUCAAAAACUCCAUCACCUAAUCGGUGAUUUAUAGGUCCGGUUUUGUUCAGCACAGUGUAAGGAUUUCCUUAGGAGCGUUCUCUGAUAUUUUAAAAANNNNN
Molecule: long non-coding RNA, 363 nt
Filed under: Vigna radiata
Lineage: Eukaryota; Viridiplantae; Streptophyta; Magnoliopsida; Fabales; Fabaceae
Description: long non-coding RNA (VRAD_LNC009056)
Source: RNAcentral